Molecule: RNA transcript, 1060 nt
Organism: Suricata suricatta (meerkat)
Lineage: Eukaryota; Metazoa; Chordata; Mammalia; Carnivora; Herpestidae
Exons: 5
Source: RefSeq, a predicted model, not a curated record
AGAAUGGGUCACCUCCUGGGACAAGUUGGAGAAGAGGGUCCAUGUGCUCAACACCACGACCCUGAGGAUGGACAAGCUGACCCUGGAGGACAGUGGGUGGUACCGGGCUCGAUCCUCCUUCACCGCGGGAUAGAAAAUGACCAGGAAUUCCACCUCAGUGUGUACGAGCUUGUGUCCCGCCCCCAGAUCCUGGCGGAGAAUCUGUCCCUCACCCCAGACUGGUGCAAUGUCACCCUGGAGUGCCACCCCACGGGAACCACGGGGGCCGUGAACGUGUCCUGGGAGAGCAAGGGCCUCCCCAGGGAGCUGGAGCAGACGGGGGCCCCGGGCCCGGCCCCCACCCCCUGGACCCUGGCUCUGCACCUGCCCCUGAGCCGGCCCAGCCCCAGCGUCACCUGUGUGGUCAGCAACCUGGUGGACCAGAAAAGUGCCACCCGGGACCUCGGGGAGGUCUGUGUCCACGGUGCAGGAUCCCAGAAGAAGCAUAGGACCCUUUAUGGUGGCGUCUCUCAUGCUGGGCUGGUGUCCCGAGAUGGCAGGGACAAGGGAUUGAAGGAACCACAUGUAGGACAGGAGACACCUCUCACUACCGUCUACACUGAGGUCUGCUCGCCAGGCCAGGUCGUGUCGAAGACUUAAUCAGAAGAAGCACGGAAUCCAGCCUCUGGGGGUACCUGUGCUGUGAGUGUGAGGCCUGCAGCCCUGGUCCUGCCCCGCCCCCUCUGACUGCCCUGACCAGGGGUGGAUUUAGCAACAUCGAAUUCUCAGCCUCAGCUCCUUGGCCACCUUAAAUGGCCCGAACUAUUCUUAGUUAUGAAUGACAUCCGUCUGCCUGUGAGAACCCGCAGACUCUGGGACAAAGUCAUCAUGAACUCGCAGCACACAGCCCUGACUAGUGUGACAUCGCCCCGCUGUCAGUGUGCACGUUCUCCCUCCCUCUUCCUCAGAGUUUCUUUGAUCAUUCCACUUUGGCGUCCACACUGCCUGCAGCCAGUGUGUCCGAAAUCUUCCCUCUCUGUGCAUGACCUCCUACUGAACCCCGCGUCCUACCCCGGUGCAC